UACGUAGGGUGCGAGCGUUAAUCGGAAUUACUGGGCGUAAAGGGCGCGUAGGCGGCCUGUUAAGUCAGACGUGAAAUCCCUCGGCUCAACCGGGGAACUGCGUCUGAUACUGGCGGGCUUGAAUUCGGGAGAGGGAUGUGGAAUUCCAGGUGUAGCGGUGAAAUGCGUAGAUAUCUGGAGGAACACCGGUGGCGAAGGCGGCAUCCUGGACCGACAUUGACGCUGAGGCGCGAAAGCCAGGGGAGCAAACGGG
This 253-nucleotide ribosomal RNA is filed under the name uncultured bacterium. RNAcentral's name for it is "partial 16S ribosomal RNA". It matches the Rfam family "Bacterial small subunit ribosomal RNA", at positions 524 to 776 of the family's 1533-position model. The record is from RNAcentral.